UACGAAGGGGGCUAGCGUUGCUCGGAAUCACUGGGCGUAAAGGGCGCGUAGGCGGGUCUUUAAGUCAGGGGUGAAAUCCUGGAGCUCAACUCCAGAACUGCCUUUGAUACUGAAGAUCUUGAGUUCGGGAGAGGUGAGUGGAACUGCGAGUGUAGAGGUGAAAUUCGUAGAUAUUGGCAAGAACACCAGUGGCGAAGGCGGCUCACUGGCCCGAUACUGACGCUGAGGCACGAAAGCGUGGGGAGCAAACAGG
This 253-nucleotide ribosomal RNA is filed under the name uncultured bacterium. RNAcentral describes it as "partial 16S ribosomal RNA". It matches the Rfam family "Bacterial small subunit ribosomal RNA", at positions 524 to 776 of the family's 1533-position model. The record is from RNAcentral.